UAGGGAAUCUUCCACAAUGGACGCAAGUCUGGUGGAGCAACGCGGCGUGAGUGAAGAAGGUUUUCGGAUCGUAAAUCUCUGUUGUUGGUGAAGAAGGAUAGAGGCAGUAACUGGUCUUUAUUUUACGGUAAUCAACCAGAACGUCACGGCUAACUACGUGCCAGCAGCCGCGGUAAUACGUAGGUGGCAAGCGUUGUCCGGAUUUAUUGGGCGUAAAGCGAGCGCAGGCGGAAUGAUAAGUCUGAUGUGAAAGCCCACGGCUCAAACGUGGAACUGCAUCGGAAACUGUCAUUCUUGAGAGCAGAAGAGGAGAGUGGAAUUCCAUGUGUAGCGGUGGAAUGCGUAGAUAUAUGGAAGAACACCAGUGGCGAAGGCGGCUCUCUGGUCUGCAACUGACGCUGAGGCUCGAAAGCAUGGGUAGCGAACAGG
RNAcentral lists this ribosomal RNA (429 nucleotides) under bacterium. RNAcentral's name for it is "partial 16S ribosomal RNA". It matches the Rfam family "Bacterial small subunit ribosomal RNA", at positions 355 to 776 of the family's 1533-position model. The record is from RNAcentral.